UCAUGGUAUUUAAAAACCUCUAUAAACUGGCUUCAAAGUAGUUUCACAAUCUGAUUGUGGAUGGUAAGCGUGCUAAAAGCUAAGGAAGAAUAGAAACCUAUGUUGAAAAUGUCAUGGAAAAGUUGAAGAUCAGUUGGACCUAAUUGUUUAUUUUGUUUUAAAUAUAAAUGUCUUCAAUUUAUUUAACUUUAGCAUCCGUUUUCUGUGUCUUUGCCAUCGUUUCUUCUUUUCCUCAUAUUCACCCUUAUUCUCCAGCCUUAUGUAAAUAUAUUGAAUGAUUCUAUGUGCAAAGUACUAAAGAUACAAAAACGUGUAAGACAAAGUUCUUUCUGUUUUCAUCUUCAUUCUUGGUCGUCUUCUCACUUCUUUAAACUCAGGUCUGCAAUUUUGCAUUGGUUUCUUUCCAAUUUCCAUAUACUCCUUUAAGUCUUCCAAGGUCUCUUUAGGACUCUGAGAUUCUUUUAAGAUCCCAUUACAUAUAUACAUAUACACACACACACACACACACACACACACAAAUCUUCAAUUAACUCCACAAUGUGCCAAUUGCCCAUUUUGAACUUAGAAUUUGGAGUAUCAAGGGCAUAAUGACUUCUCUUCUAUCAAAAUACCAUUCAUACAAUAGGGCUGCUCUAACUUCCGCCUGCUCCAUGAAUCUUUUCCCAAACUUUAUAGCCUCUAUAAAUAUGUCUCUAUUCUUCAUUUACAUAACACAUAUUUGCGCAUGCUGGUAUAUCCCAAACUGUAUUAAGGAAAUGUUGUGGAUGAUAUUAAAUGGCAGGCUGAUGAGAUUAUUCUUCAGAG
Long non-coding RNA from Sapajus apella (tufted capuchin), 804 nucleotides. RefSeq lists it as uncharacterized. NCBI's taxonomy places the organism in Eukaryota, Metazoa, Chordata, Mammalia, Primates, Cebidae. The record is from RefSeq and is a predicted model, not a curated record. The transcript has 3 exons.